Molecule: long non-coding RNA, 636 nt
Organism: Suricata suricatta (meerkat)
Lineage: Eukaryota; Metazoa; Chordata; Mammalia; Carnivora; Herpestidae
Exons: 2
Source: RefSeq, a predicted model, not a curated record
UGGCCAGCGGAUGUCCAGGGGCCCGUCCUGUGGGAGGAGGACACGCAGGGGUGUAGAUGGCACGGCUCACGACGCUCCGGAUCACUUUCCCCCGUCGUUCCUGGACUUCACGGCCCGCGAGCCUGCGUUUCUUUGAGCCCGCGGCGCUCAUCAGUCCACCCCCUUCCUGGCUUCUGCUCAGACUCUGCCGGUCGGCGCCGCUCCGUGCGGAGCCCGGGAGUCCGGCGAGCACGUCUGAGGUCAUCCGUGUGCUUUCUCUGACGCGCCUGUUUCCAGAAGAGACUGACUCCAGACCAGUGAAACCUACCCGAAGAUUCUGGCCUGAACGCUUACAGCGUUGACCUGACAAGAAAGUGAGCUUCCGGUUGCCGCCUCGGUGGGGCGGUGGCGAUGGUGGAAGUACGUCACAGCGCGUUUUCAUUCCGCACCGGUACUUUCCAGACUCGCCCCAGACCGAUUCCUAGAGGGGGCGGAGACGGGAACCGUGCCGCCAGGAAUCCAGGGUCCCUCAGGUGAUCGGGGAGUGAUGGCUUUUUCUGGUUUUGUUUUUUGGAGUCUUCUGUUUUAUCUUUAGGCAGAGCUUCUCUGCACGUCCAUAUCUGUUUUAAUUGAAAAAUAAAUUAUUUUACUGCUGAA